This 122-nucleotide transfer RNA is filed under the name uncultured marine crenarchaeote HF4000_APKG3B16. Its description in RNAcentral is "tRNA-Tyr". It matches the Rfam family "tRNA". Rfam says of the family: Transfer RNA (tRNA) molecules are approximately 80 nucleotides in length. Their secondary structure includes four short double-helical elements and three loops (D, anti-codon, and T loops). Further hydrogen bonds mediate the characteristic L-shaped molecular structure. tRNAs have two regions of fundamental functional importance: the anti-codon, which is responsible for specific mRNA codon recognition, and the 3' end, to which the tRNAs corresponding amino acid is attached (by aminoacyl-tRNA synthetases). tRNAs cope with the degeneracy of the genetic code in two manners: having more than one tRNA (with a specific anti-codon) for a particular amino acid; and 'wobble' base-pairing, i.e. permitting non-standard base-pairing at the 3rd anti-codon position. Lineage: Archaea; Thermoproteati; Nitrososphaerota; Nitrososphaeria; Nitrosopumilales. The record is from RNAcentral. RNAcentral also lists the same sequence under 8 other names.
CCCAAGCUAGCUCAGCCUGGUAGAGCUUCCGGCUGUAGUAGUUGGCUUUAGGCUAAACUGAAUUCCAGCCUAUCAGGCAUACAGAAACCGGGUUGUCGAAGGUUCAAUUCCUUCGCUUGGGA